GCCAGGCUGGCGGAAUGGUAGACGCGGCAGAUUCAAAAUCUGCUUUCCGUAAGGAAGUAGGGGUUCGACUCCCCUGCCUGGUACCA
RNAcentral lists this transfer RNA (86 nucleotides) under Engelhardtia mirabilis. RNAcentral's name for it is "Planctomycetes bacterium Pla133 tRNA-Leu". It matches the Rfam family "tRNA". From Rfam's summary of the family: Transfer RNA (tRNA) molecules are approximately 80 nucleotides in length. Lineage: Bacteria; Pseudomonadati; Planctomycetota; Planctomycetia. The record is from RNAcentral.